AUCUUCCGCAAUGGGCGAAAGCCUGACGGAGCAACGCCGCGUGAGUGAUGAAGGUCUUCGGAUCGUAAAACUCUGUUAUUAGGGAAGAACAUAUGUGUAAGUAACUGUGCACAUCUUGACGGUACCUAAUCAGAAAGCCACGGCUAACUACGUGCCAGCAGCCGCGGUAAUACGUAGGUGGCAAGCGUUAUCCGGAAUUAUUGGGCGUAAAGCGCGCGUAGGCGGUUUUUUAAGUCUGAUGUGAAAGCCCACGGCUCAACCGUGGAGGGUCAUUGGAAACUGGAAAACUUGAGUGCAGAAGAGGAAAGUGGAAUUCCAUGUGUAGCGGUGAAAUGCGCAGAGAUAUGGAGGAACACCAGUGGCGAAGGCGACUUUCUGGUCUGUAACUGACGCUGAUGUGCGAAAGCGUGGGGAUCAAACAGGAUUAGAUACCCUGG
RNAcentral lists this ribosomal RNA (437 nucleotides) under Staphylococcus aureus. Its description in RNAcentral is "bacterial SSU rRNA". It matches the Rfam family "Bacterial small subunit ribosomal RNA", at positions 361 to 790 of the family's 1533-position model. Lineage: Bacteria; Bacillati; Bacillota; Bacilli; Caryophanales; Staphylococcaceae. The record is from RNAcentral.